AUUGAACGCUGGCGGCAUGCCUUACACAUGCAAGUCGAACGGCAGCACGGGCUUCGGUCUGGUGGCGAGUGGCGAACGGGUGAGUAAUGUAUCGGAACGUACCAUUGAGCGGGGGAUAACGUAGCGAAAGUUACGCUAAUACCGCAUAUUCUCUCCGGAGGAAAGCAGGGGACCGCAAGGCCUUGCGCUCUUUGAGCGGCCGACAUCAGAUUAGCUAGUUGGUGGGGUAAAAGCUCACCAAGGCGACGAUCUGUAGCGGGUCUGAGAGGAUGAUCCGCCACACUGGAACUGAGACACGGUCCAGACUCCUACGGGAGGCAGCAGUGGGGAAUUUUGGACAAUGGGGGCAACCCUGAUCCAGCCAUGCCGCGUGAGUGAAGAAGGCCUUCGGGUUGUAAAGCUCUUUCGGCCGGGAAAAAAUCGCAUGGAUUAAUACUCUGUGUGGAUGAUGGUACCGGAAUAAGAAGCACCGGCUAACUACGUGCCAGCCGCCGCGGUAA
Molecule: ribosomal RNA, 500 nt
Filed under: uncultured bacterium
Lineage: Bacteria
Description: partial 16S ribosomal RNA
Rfam family: Bacterial small subunit ribosomal RNA
Source: RNAcentral